RNAcentral lists this ribosomal RNA (579 nucleotides) under Fusarium solani. Its description in RNAcentral is "eukaryotic LSU rRNA". It matches the Rfam family "Eukaryotic large subunit ribosomal RNA", at positions 1 to 589 of the family's 3401-position model. The record is from RNAcentral. Lineage: Eukaryota; Fungi; Ascomycota; Sordariomycetes; Hypocreales; Nectriaceae.
GUUGACCUCGAAUCAGGUAGGAAUACCCGCUGAACUUAAGCAUAUCAAUAAGCGGAGGAAAAGAAACCAACAGGGAUUGCCCCAGUAACGGCGAGUGAAGCGGCAACAGCUCAAAUUUGAAAUCUGGCUCUCGGGCCCGAGUUGUAAUUUGUAGAGGAUGCUUUUGGUGAGGUGCCUUCCGAGUUCCCUGGAACGGGACGCCAUAGAGGGUGAGAGCCCCGUCUGGUUGGACACCGAUCCUCUGUAAAGCUCCUUCGACGAGUCGAGUAGUUUGGGAAUGCUGCUCUAAAUGGGAGGUAUAUGUCUUCUAAAGCUAAAUACCGGCCAGAGACCGAUAGCGCACAAGUAGAGUGAUCGAAAGAUGAAAAGAACUUUGAAAAGAGAGUUAAAAAGUACGUGAAAUUGUUGAAAGGGAAGCGCUUGUGACCAGACUUGGGCUUGGUUGAUCAUCCGGGGUUCUCCCCGGUGCACUCUUCCGGCUCAGGCCAGCAUCAGUUCGCCCUGGGGGAUAAAGGCUUCGGGAAUGUGGCUCUCUCCGGGGAGUGUUAUAGCCCGCUGCGUAAUACCCUGUGGCGGACU